RNAcentral lists this long non-coding RNA (230 nucleotides) under Elaeis guineensis (African oil palm). Its description in RNAcentral is "long non-coding RNA (EGUI_LNC010672)". The record is from RNAcentral. Lineage: Eukaryota; Viridiplantae; Streptophyta; Magnoliopsida; Arecales; Arecaceae.
GCAUCCAAAGGUGUAAGAUUUCAUUUUUAUUUUUCUUGUUUUAUUUUUUAAAAAUGAAGAGACUUUUAUCAACUAAUCUAGUUGGCGGGCUCUCCCUAAUAAUAAUCAUACAUAUAUAUAGUUGAUGGGCUCUCACUAAUAAUAAUCAUACAUCCAUAUACAUGCACAUACAUACAUAUAUACACACAUAUAUAUAGAGACAGAGAUGAUUAUUAUAACUGUUAUGGUAU